CCUACGGGAGGCAGCAGUGAGGAAUAUUGGUCAAUGGACGAGAGUCUGAACCAGCCAAGUAGCGUGAAGGAUGACUGCCCUAUGGGUUGUAAACUUCUUUUAUAUGGGAAUAAAACGUUCCACGUGUGGGAUUUUGUAUGUACCAUAUGAAUAAGGAUCGGCUAACUCCGUGCCAGCAGCCGCGGUAAUACGGAGGAUCCGAGCGUUAUCCGGAUUUAUUGGGUUUAAAGGGAGCGUAGGUGGAUUGUGAUGUCAGUUGUGAAAGUUUGCGGCUCAACCGUAAAAUUGCAGUUGAAACUGGCAGUCUUGAGUACAGUAGAGGUGGGCGGAAUUCGUGGUGUAGCGGUGAAAUGCUUAGAUAUCACGAAGAACUCCGAUUGCGAAGGCAGUUCACUGGACUGCAACUGACACUGAGGCUCGAAAGUGUGGGUAUCAAACAGGAUUAGAUACCCGUGUAGUC
Molecule: ribosomal RNA, 460 nt
Filed under: uncultured bacterium
Lineage: Bacteria
Description: partial 16S ribosomal RNA
Rfam family: Bacterial small subunit ribosomal RNA
Source: RNAcentral